Molecule: ribosomal RNA, 448 nt
Filed under: uncultured bacterium
Lineage: Bacteria
Description: bacterial SSU rRNA
Rfam family: Bacterial small subunit ribosomal RNA
Source: RNAcentral
UCCCAGACUCCUACGGGAGGCAGCAGUGGGGAAUAUUGCACAAUGGGCGAAAGCCUGAUGCAGCAACGCCGCGUGAAGGAAGACGGUUUUCGGAUUGUAAACUUCUGUUCUUAGUGAAGAAUAAUGACGGUAACUAAGGAGCAAGCCACGGCUAACUACGUGCCAGCAGCCGCGGUAAUACGUAGGUGGCAAGCGUUGUCCGGAAUUACUGGGUGUAAAGGGAGCGUAGGCGGGACGGCAAGUCAGAUGUGAAAACUGAGGGCUCAACUUUCAGACUGCAUUUGAAACUGCUGUUCUUGAGUGAAGUAGAGGUAAGCGGAAUUCCUAGUGUAGCGGUGAAAUGCGUAGAUAUUAGGAGGAACAUCGGUGGCGAAGGCGGCUUACUGGGCUUUUACUGACGCUGAGGCUCGAAAGCGUGGGGAGCAAACAGGAUUAGAUACCCGCGUAC